This 504-nucleotide ribosomal RNA is filed under the name uncultured bacterium. RNAcentral's name for it is "partial 16S ribosomal RNA". It matches the Rfam family "Bacterial small subunit ribosomal RNA", at positions 30 to 523 of the family's 1533-position model. The record is from RNAcentral.
AUUGAACGCUGGCGGCAUGCCUUACACAUGCAAGUCGAACGGCAGCAUAGAGAGCUUGCUCUCUGAUGGCGAGUGGCGAACGGGUGAGUAAAGCAUCGGAACGUACCGUGUAGUGGGGGAUAACGUAGCGGAAGUUACGCUAAUACCGCAUACGCACUGAGGUGGAAAGCAGGGGAUCGUAAGACCUUGCGCUAUACGAGCGGCCGAUGUCAGAUUAGCUAGUUGGUAGGGUAAAGGCCUACCAAGGCGACGAUCUGUAGCGGGUCUGAGAGGAUGAUCCGCCACACUGGGACUGAGACACGGCCCAGACUCCUACGGGAGGCAGCAGUGGGGAAUUUUGGACAAUGGGGGCAACCCUGAUCCAGCCAUGCCGCGUGAGUGAGGAAGGCCUUCGGGUUGUAAAGCUCUUUCGGCCGGGAAGAAAUCGCACAGGCUAAUACCCUGUGUGGAUGACGGUACCGGCAUAAGAAGCACCGGCUAACUACGUGCCAGCAGCCGCAGUAA